GUGUUUGUAGUCCAACGGUUAGGAUAAUUGCUUUCCAAGCAAUAGAUCUGGAUUUGAGUCUUGACAGGUACA
Molecule: transfer RNA, 72 nt
Filed under: Ipomoea nil (Japanese morning glory)
Lineage: Eukaryota; Viridiplantae; Streptophyta; Magnoliopsida; Solanales; Convolvulaceae
Rfam family: tRNA
About the family: Transfer RNA (tRNA) molecules are approximately 80 nucleotides in length. Their secondary structure includes four short double-helical elements and three loops (D, anti-codon, and T loops).
Source: Rfam by way of RNAcentral